GUGCUUGCUUUGGGAGUACAUACUACAUAUGGAAAAAUACCAAGAAGACUAGUAUGUACCCAUAAACCAGGAUGACAUGCAAAAUCGUAAAGUGUUCCAGAGAGAG
RNAcentral lists this small nuclear RNA (106 nucleotides) under Echinops telfairi (small Madagascar hedgehog). The record is from RNAcentral. Lineage: Eukaryota; Metazoa; Chordata; Mammalia; Afrosoricida; Tenrecidae.